Schistosoma haematobium is the source of this 46-nucleotide non-coding RNA. The record is from Rfam. Lineage: Eukaryota; Metazoa; Platyhelminthes; Trematoda; Strigeidida; Schistosomatidae.
GCACUGCGGAGGGGUCCCACAAUAGGACGAAAUGGCCAUCCAGUGC